This 67-nucleotide transfer RNA is filed under the name Porochilus rendahli. RNAcentral describes it as "tRNA-Cys". It matches the Rfam family "tRNA". Rfam says of the family: Transfer RNA (tRNA) molecules are approximately 80 nucleotides in length. Their secondary structure includes four short double-helical elements and three loops (D, anti-codon, and T loops). Lineage: Eukaryota; Metazoa; Chordata; Actinopteri; Siluriformes; Plotosidae. The record is from RNAcentral.
AGCCCUGUGGUGUACAACAUAUCGGAUUGCAAAUCCGGAGAAGUAGGUUAGUUGCCUACCGGGGCUU